CGGGUUGUAAAGCACUUUCAGUUGUAAGGAAGGUGGUGUCGUUAAUAGCGGCAUCAUUUGACGUUAGCAACAGAAGAAGCACCGGCUAACUCCGUGCCAGCAGCCGCGGUAAUACGGAGGGUGCGAGCGUUAAUCGGAAUUACUGGGCGUAAAGCGCAUGCAGGUGGUUUGUUAAGUUCAGAUGUGAAAGACCCGGGGCGUCAACCUCGGAACUGCAUUUGAAACUAGGCAGACUAGAGUACUGUAGAGGGGGGUAGGAAUUUCAGGUGUAGCGGUGAAAUGCGUAGAGAUCUGAAGGAAUACCGGUGGCGAAGGCGGCCCCCUGGACAGAUACUGACACUCAGAUGCGAAAGCGUGGGGAGCAAACAGGAUUAGAUACCCUGGUAG
Molecule: ribosomal RNA, 387 nt
Filed under: uncultured bacterium
Lineage: Bacteria
Description: bacterial SSU rRNA
Rfam family: Bacterial small subunit ribosomal RNA
Source: RNAcentral